RNAcentral lists this ribosomal RNA (388 nucleotides) under uncultured bacterium. RNAcentral describes it as "bacterial SSU rRNA". It matches the Rfam family "Bacterial small subunit ribosomal RNA", at positions 28 to 416 of the family's 1533-position model. The record is from RNAcentral.
AACGAACGCUGGCGGCGGGCCUCAUACAUGCAAGUCGAGCGCGUGUAGCAAUACACGAGCGGCGUACGGGUGAGUAACGGGUGGAUAACCUGCCUCUAGGGUGGGGGAUAACGGCUGGAAACGGCCGCUAAUACCGCAUACGGUUGCCGCGUCCUUGGACGCAGGCAAAGAAAGGGGCUUCACGGCCUCGCCGGGAGAUGGGUCCGCCUCCGAUUAGCUAGUUGGUAGGGUAAUGGCCUACCAAGGCUUGAUCGGUAGCCGAACUGAGAGGUUGAUCGGCCACACUGGAACUGAGACACGGUCCAGACACCUACGGGUGGCAGCAGUAGGGAGUAUUGCGCAAUGGGCGAAAGCCUGACGCAGCCACGCCGCGUGGAUGAUGAAGGCC